Molecule: ribosomal RNA, 501 nt
Filed under: uncultured bacterium
Lineage: Bacteria
Description: partial 16S ribosomal RNA
Rfam family: Bacterial small subunit ribosomal RNA
Source: RNAcentral
AUUGAACGCAGGCGGCAGGCUUAACACAUGCAAGUCGAGCGGAGCGAGGGUGCUUGCACCUUAGCUUAGCGGCGGACGGGUGAGUAAUGCUUAGGAAUCUGCCUAUUAGUGGGGGACAACAUUCCGAAAGGAAUGCUAAUACCGCAUACGCACUACGGGGGAAAGCAGGGGAUCUUCGGACCUUGCGCUAAUAGAUGAGCCUAAUGCGGAUUAGCUAGUUGGUGGGGUAAAGGCCUACCAAGGCGCCGAUCUGUAGCGGGUCUGAGAGGAUGAUCCGCCACACUGGGACUGAGACACGGCCCAGACUCCGACGGGAGGCAGCAGUGGGGAAUAUUGGACAAUGGGGGGAACCCUGAUCCAGCCAUGCCGCGUGUGUGAAGAAGGCCUUAUGGUUGUAAAGCACUUUAAGCGAGGAGGAGGCUCUUUUGGUUAAUACCCAAGAUGAGUGGACGUUACUCGCAGAAUAAGCACCGGCUAACUCUGUGCCAGCCGCCGCGGUAA